This 465-nucleotide ribosomal RNA is filed under the name uncultured bacterium. RNAcentral's name for it is "partial 16S ribosomal RNA". It matches the Rfam family "Bacterial small subunit ribosomal RNA", at positions 338 to 795 of the family's 1533-position model. The record is from RNAcentral.
CCUACGGGGGGCAGCAGUGGGGAAUAUUGCGCAAUGGGCGAAAGCCUGACGCAGCGACGCCGCGUGAGGGAUGAAGGUCUUCGGAUCGUAAACCUCUGUCAGCAGGGAAGAACGGUCACUGUGCUAAUCAGCAGUGAAUUGACGGUACCUGCAAAGGAAGCACCGGCUAACUCCGUGCCAGCAGCCGCGGUAAUACGGAGGGUGCGAGCGUUAAUCGGAAUUACUGGGCGUAAAGCGCUCGUAGGCGGUAUGUCAAGUCAAGGGUGAAAUCCCCGCGCUCAACGUGGGAACUGCCUUUGAAACUGGUAAACUGGAGUGUGUGAGAGGAUAGUGGAAUUCCAGGUGUAGGAGUGAAAUGCGUAGAUAUCUGGAGGAACAUCAGUGGCGAAGGCGACUAUCUGGCACAUAACUGACGCUGAGGAGCGAAAGCGUGGGUAGCAAACAGGAUUAGAUACCCGAGUAGUC